Molecule: ribosomal RNA, 433 nt
Filed under: uncultured bacterium
Lineage: Bacteria
Description: partial 16S ribosomal RNA
Rfam family: Bacterial small subunit ribosomal RNA
Source: RNAcentral
AACGAACGCUGGCGGCAUGCCUAACACAUGCAAGUCGAACGAGACCUUCGGGUCUAGUGGCGCACGGGUGCGUAACGCGUGGGAACCUGCCCUUAGGUUCGGAAUAACUCCCCGAAAGGGGUGCUAAUACCGGAUAAUGUCUUCGGACCAAAGAUUUAUCGCCUUUGGAUGGGCCCGCGUUGGAUUAGCGAGUUGGUAGGGUAAAAGCCUACCAAGGCGACGAUCCAUAGCUGGUCUGAGAGGAUGAUCAGCCACACUGGGACUGAGACACGGCCCAGACUCCUACGGGAGGCAGCAGUGGGGAAUAUUGGACAAUGGGCGAAAGCCUGAUCCAGCAAUGCCGCGUGAGUGAUGAAGGCCUUAGGGUUGUAAAGCUCUUUUACCCGGGAUGAUAAUGACAGUACCGGGAGAAUAAGCUCCGGCUAACUCCGUG